RNAcentral lists this ribosomal RNA (377 nucleotides) under uncultured organism. RNAcentral's name for it is "partial 16S ribosomal RNA". It matches the Rfam family "Bacterial small subunit ribosomal RNA", at positions 527 to 897 of the family's 1533-position model. The record is from RNAcentral.
GUAGGCGGCAAGCGUUGUCCGGGAAUUAUUGGGGCGUAAAGCGCGCGCAGGCGGUUCUUUAAGUCUGAUGUGAAAGCCCACGGGCUCAACCGUGGGAGGGUCAUUGGAAACUGGAGAACUUGAGUACAGAAGAGGAAAGCGGAAUUCCACGUGUAGCGGUGAAAUGCGUAGAGAUGUGGAGGAACACCAGUGGCGAAGGCGGCUUUCUGGUCUGUAACUGGCGCUGAGGCGCGAAAGCGUGGGGAGCAAACAGGAUUAGAUACCCUGGUAGUCCACGCCGUAAACGAUGAGUGCUAAGUGUUAGGGGGUUUCCGCCCCUUAGUGCUGCAGCUAACGCAUUAAGCACUCCGCCUGAGGAGUACGGCCGCAAAGGCUGA